This 468-nucleotide ribosomal RNA is filed under the name uncultured bacterium. Its description in RNAcentral is "partial 16S ribosomal RNA". It matches the Rfam family "Bacterial small subunit ribosomal RNA", at positions 28 to 507 of the family's 1533-position model. The record is from RNAcentral.
GACGAACGCUGGCGGCGUGCUUAACACAUGCAAGUCGAACGGACAGGCCCUGCUUUUGUGGGUUGCUCGAGUGGCGAACGGGUGAGUAACACGUGAGUAACCUGCCCUUGACUUUGUGAUAACUUCAGGAAACUGGGGCUAAUACCGGAUAUGAUCUCCUGCUGCAUGUUGGUCGUUGGAAAGUUUCGGCGGUUGGGGAUGGACUCGCGGCUUAUCCGCUUGUUGGUGGGGUAGUGGCUUACAAAGGCUUUGACGGGUAGCCGGCCUGAGAGGGUGAACGGCCACAUUGGGACUGAGAGACGGACCAGAAGCCUACGGGAGGCAGCAGGGGGGAAUAUUGCAGAAUGGGCGGAAGCGUGAUGCAGCAACGCCGCGUGCGGGAUGACGGCCUUCGGGUUGUAAACCGCCGUCGAAUGUAACGAAGAGGGAGUGACGGUAAUGGGUAAAGAAGCAACGGCUAACUACGUG